GUUUCUUGCUAAUUCUUCUCUGCAGAAUCUACAUUCCGAAUCGGUGGUAGCUUUACUUUUACAAAAAUAAUAAUUUAUUUUUAAUUAACGUUUUAAUUUGUAAAAUGGCGAUUCGAAAGUGCUCUUGGGACCUUGAGAUUUUGAAUGUGCCAUGUGUGUGGGUGUGUGCGUGCGUCGUGCCACGUGUGUAGGUUGUGGCGUGCGACGUGGCCGUGUGUCCCGUGUACCUGGUUGGGCGCGUUCUUGGCCGGGCUGAGCGGCGCCGGCGCGCCCAGGUCGCUGAGGCGCGAGCCGCCCGUGAAGGUGAAGCCCACGAAGGGCAGGUGUGGUGUGUGGUGUGUGGUGUGUGGUGUGUGGCGUGCGACGUGGCCGUGUGUCCCGUGUACCUGGUUGGGCGCGUUCUUGGCCGGGCUGAGCGGCGCCGGCGCGCCCAGGUCGCUGAGGCGCGAGCCGCCCGUGAAGGUGAAGCCCACGAAGGGCAGGUGUGGUGUGUGGUGUGUGGUGUGUGGUGUGUGGCGUGCGACGUGGCCGUGUGUCCCGUGUACCUGGUUGGGCGCGUUCUUGGCCGGGCUGAGCGGCGCCGGCGCGCCCAGGUCGCUGAGGCGCGAGCCGCCCGUGAAGGUGAAGCCCACGAAGGGCAGGUGUGGUGUGUGGUGUGUGGUGUGUGGUGUGUGGUGUGUGGUGUGUGGUGUGUGGCGUGCGACGUGGCCGUGUGUCCCGUGUACCUGGUUGGGCGCGUUCUUGGCCGGGCUGAGCGGCGCCGGCGCGCCCAGGUCGCUGAGGC
Molecule: unclassified non-coding RNA, 784 nt
Filed under: Melitaea cinxia (Glanville fritillary)
Lineage: Eukaryota; Metazoa; Arthropoda; Insecta; Lepidoptera; Nymphalidae
Description: misc RNA ENSMCXG00005016386.1
Source: RNAcentral